RNAcentral lists this ribosomal RNA (253 nucleotides) under uncultured bacterium. RNAcentral describes it as "partial 16S ribosomal RNA". It matches the Rfam family "Bacterial small subunit ribosomal RNA", at positions 524 to 776 of the family's 1533-position model. The record is from RNAcentral.
UACGUAGGGUGCAAGCGUUGUCCGGAAUUAUUGGGCGUAAAGAGCUCGUAGGCGGCUUGUCGCGUCGGCUGUGAAAACCUGGGGCUCAACCCCGGGCCUGCAGCCGAUACGGGCAAGCUAGAAUUCGGUAGGGGAGACUGGAAUUCCUGGUGUAGCGGUGAAAUGCGCAGAUAUCAGGAGGAACACCGGCGGCGAAGGCGGGUCUCUGGGACGGUACUGACGCUGACACGCGAAAGCGUGGGGAGCGAACAGG